GGUUAAGCGACUAAGCGUACACGGUGGAUGCCCUGGCAGUCAGAGGCGAUGAAGGACGUGCUAAUCUGCGAUAAGCGUCGGUAAGGUGAUAUGAACCGUUAUAACCGGCGAUUUCCGAAUGGGGAAACCCAGUGUGAUUCGUCACACUAUCAUUAACUGAAUCCAUAGGUUAAUGAGGCGAACCGGGGGAACUGAAACAUCUAAGUACCCCGAGGAAAAGAAAUCAACCGAGAUUCCCCCAGUAGCGGCGAGCGAACGGGGAGCAGCCCAGAGCCUGAAUCAGUGUGUGUGUUAGUGGAAGCGUCUGGAAAGGCGCGCGAUACAGGGUGACAGCCCCGUACACAAAAAUGCACAUGCUGUGAGCUCGAUGAGUAGGGCGGGACACGUGGUAUCCUGUCUGAAUAUGGGGGGACCAUCCUCCAAGGCUAAAUACUCCUGACUGACCGAUAGUGAACCAGUACCGUGAGGGAAAGGCGAAAAGAACCCCGGCGAGGGGAGUGAAAAAGAACCUGAAACCGUGUACGUACAAGCAGUGGGAGCACGCUUAGGCGUGUGACUGCGUACCUUUUGUAUAAUGGGUCAGCGACUUAUAUUCUGUAGCAAGGUUAACCGAAUAGGGGAGCCGAAGGGAAACCGAGUCUUAACUGGGCGUUAAGUUGCAGGGUAUAGACCCGAAACCCGGUGAUCUAGCCAUGGGCAGGUUGAAGGUUGGGUAACACUAACUGGAGGACCGAACCGACUAAUGUUGAAAAAUUAGCGGAUGACUUGUGGCUGGGGGUGAAAGGCCAAUCAAACCGGGAGAUAGCUGGUUCUCCCCGAAAGCUAUUUAGGUAGCGCCUCGUGAAUUCAUCUCCGGGGGUAGAGCACUGUUUCGGCAAGGGGGUCAUCCCGACUUACCAACCCGAUGCAAACUGCGAAUACCGGAGAAUGUUAUCACGGGAGACACACGGCGGGUGCUAACGUCCGUCGUGAAGAGGGAAACAACCCAGACCGCCAGCUAAGGUCCCAAAGUCAUGGUUAAGUGGGAAACGAUGUGGGAAGGCCCAGACAGCCAGGAUGUUGGCUUAGAAGCAGCCAUCAUUUAAAGAAAGCGUAAUAGCUCACUGGUCGAGUCGGCCUGCGCGGAAGAUGUAACGGGGCUAAACCAUGCACCGAAGCUGCGGCAGCGACGCUUAUGCGUUGUUGGGUAGGGGAGCGUUCUGUAAGCCUGUGAAGGUGUGCUGUGAGGCAUGCUGGAGGUAUCAGAAGUGCGAAUGCUGACAUAAGUAACGAUAAAGCGGGUGAAAAGCCCGCUCGCCGGAAGACCAAGGGUUCCUGUCCAACGUUAAUCGGGGCAGGGUGAGUCGACCCCUAAGGCGAGGCCGAAAGGCGUAGUCGAUGGGAAACAGGUUAAUAUUCCUGUACUUGGUGUUACUGCGAAGGGGGGACGGAGAAGGCUAUGUUGGCCGGGCGACGGUUGUCCCGGUUUAAGCGUGUAGGCUGGUUUUCCAGGCAAAUCCGGAAAAUCAAGGCUGAGGCGUGAUGACGAGGCACUACGGUGCUGAAGCAACAAAUGCCCUGCUUCCAGGAAAAGCCUCUAAGCAUCAGGUAACAUCAAAUCGUACCCCAAACCGACACAGGUGGUCAGGUAGAGAAUACCAAGGCGCUUGAGAGAACUCGGGUGAAGGAACUAGGCAAAAUGGUGCCGUAACUUCGGGAGAAGGCACGCUGAUAUGUAGGUGAAGCGACUUGCUCGUGGAGCUGAAAUCAGUCGAAGAUACCAGCUGGCUGCAACUGUUUAUUAAAAACACAGCACUGUGCAAACACGAAAGUGGACGUAUACGGUGUGACGCCUGCCCGGUGCCGGAAGGUUAAUUGAUGGGGUUAGCGCAAGCGAAGCUCUUGAUCGAAGCCCCGGUAAACGGCGGCCGUAACUAUAACGGUCCUAAGGUAGCGAAAUUCCUUGUCGGGUAAGUUCCGACCUGCACGAAUGGCGUAAUGAUGGCCAGGCUGUCUCCACCCGAGACUCAGUGAAAUUGAACUCGCUGUGAAGAUGCAGUGUACCCGCGGCAAGACGGAAAGACCCCGUGAACCUUUACUAUAGCUUGACACUGAACAUUGAGCCUUGAUGUGUAGGAUAGGUGGGAGGCUUUGAAGUGUGGACGCCAGUCUGCAUGGAGCCGACCUUGAAAUACCACCCUUUAAUGUUUGAUGUUCUAACGUUGACCCGUAAUCCGGGUUGCGGACAGUGUCUGGUGGGUAGUUUGACUGGGGCGGUCUCCUCCUAAAGAGUAACGGAGGAGCACGAAGGUUGGCUAAUCCUGGUCGGACAUCAGGAGGUUAGUGCAAUGGCAUAAGCCAGCUUGACUGCGAGCGUGACGGCGCGAGCAGGUGCGAAAGCAGGUCAUAGUGAUCCGGUGGUUCUGAAUGGAAGGGCCAUCGCUCAACGGAUAAAAGGUACUCCGGGGAUAACAGGCUGAUACCGCCCAAGAGUUCAUAUCGACGGCGGUGUUUGGCACCUCGAUGUCGGCUCAUCACAUCCUGGGGCUGAAGUAGGUCCCAAGGGUAUGGCUGUUCGCCAUUUAAAGUGGUACGCGAGCUGGGUUUAGAACGUCGUGAGACAGUUCGGUCCCUAUCUGCCGUGGGCGCUGGAGAACUGAGGGGGGCUGCUCCUAGUACGAGAGGACCGGAGUGGACGCAUCACUGGUGUUCGGGUUGUCAUGCCAAUGGCACUGCCCGGUAGCUAAAUGCGGAAGAGAUAAGUGCUGAAAGCAUCUAAGCACGAAACUUGCCCCGAGAUGAGUUCUCCCUGACCCUUUAAGGGUCCUGAAGGAACGUUGAAGACGACGACGUUGAUAGGCCGGGUGUGUAAGCGCAGCGAUGCGUUGAGCUAACCGGUACUAAUGAACCGUGAGGCUUAACCUU
Molecule: ribosomal RNA, 2904 nt
Filed under: Escherichia coli
Lineage: Bacteria; Pseudomonadati; Pseudomonadota; Gammaproteobacteria; Enterobacterales; Enterobacteriaceae
Description: 23S ribosomal RNA
Rfam family: Bacterial large subunit ribosomal RNA
Source: RNAcentral